UACGGAGGGUGCGAGCGUUGUCCGGAAUCACUGGGCGUAAAGGGCGCGUAGGUGGCGCGGGAAGUCAACGGUGAAAGUUCGGGGCUCAACCCUGAAUCGGCCGUCGAUACUCCCGGGCUCGAGCACUGUAGAGGCAGAUGGAAUUCCGGGUGUAGCGUGGAAUGCGUAGAGAUCCGGAAGAACACCGGUGGCGAAGGCGGUCUGCUGGGCAGUUGCUGACACUGAUGCGCGACAGCGUGGGGAGCAAACAGG
RNAcentral lists this ribosomal RNA (252 nucleotides) under uncultured bacterium. RNAcentral's name for it is "partial 16S ribosomal RNA". It matches the Rfam family "Bacterial small subunit ribosomal RNA", at positions 524 to 776 of the family's 1533-position model. The record is from RNAcentral.